AACGAACGCUGGCGGCAGGCCUAACACAUGCAAGUCGAACGCCCCGCAAGGGGAGUGGCAGACGGGUGAGUAACACGUGGGAACCUUCCCAACAGUACGGAAUAGCCCAGGGAAACUUGGAGUAAUACCGUAUAUUCCCGAGAGGGGAAAGAUUUAUCGCUGUUGGAUGGGCCCGCGUCGGAUUAGCUAGUUGGUGAGGUAACGGCUCACCAAGGCGACGAUCCGUAGCUGGUUUGAGAGAAUGACCAGCCACACUGGGACUGAGACACGGCCCAGACUCCUACGGGAGGCAGCAGUGGGGAAUCUUGGACAAUGGGCGCAAGCCUGAUCCAGCCAUGCCGCGUGAGUGACGAAGGCCUUAGGGUUGUAAAGCUCUUUUGCCGGGGACGAUAAUGACGGUACCCGGAGAAUAAGUCCCGGCUAACUUCGUG
This 431-nucleotide ribosomal RNA is filed under the name uncultured bacterium. RNAcentral's name for it is "bacterial SSU rRNA". It matches the Rfam family "Bacterial small subunit ribosomal RNA", at positions 29 to 507 of the family's 1533-position model. The record is from RNAcentral.